This 492-nucleotide ribosomal RNA is filed under the name uncultured bacterium. Its description in RNAcentral is "partial 16S ribosomal RNA". It matches the Rfam family "Bacterial small subunit ribosomal RNA", at positions 29 to 507 of the family's 1533-position model. The record is from RNAcentral.
AGUGAACGCUGGCGGUAGGCCUAACACAUGCAAGUCGAACGGCAGCACAGUAAGAGCUUGCUCUUAUGGGUGGCGAGUGGCGGACGGGUGAGGAAUACAUCGGAAUCUACUUUUUCGUGGGGGAUAACGUAGGGAAACUUACGCUAAUACCGCAUACGACCUACGGGUGAAAGCAGGGGAUCUUCGGACCUUGCGCGAUUGAAUGAGCCGAUGCCGGAUUAGCUAGUUGGCGGGGUAAAGGCCCACCAAGGCGACGAUCCGUAGCUGGUCUGAGAGGAUGAUCAGCCACACUGGAACUGAGACACGGUCCAGACUCCUACGGGAGGCAGCAGUGGGGAAUAUUGGACAAUGGGCGCAAGCCUGAUCCAGCCAUACCGCGUGGGUGAAGAAGGCCUUCGGGUUGUAAAGCCCUUUUGUUGGGAAAGAAAAGCAGCAGGUUAAUACCCCGCUGUUCUGACGGUACCCAAAGAAUAAGCACCGGCUAACUUCGUG